AGCGGCGGACGGGUGAGUUAGGCGUGGGUAACCUGCCCUAUACACAUGGAUAACAUACCGAAAGGUAUGCUAAUACGAGAUAAUAUAAGAGAUUCACAUGGAUUUCUUAUCAAAGCUGAGGCGGUAUAGGAUGGACCCGCGUCUGAUUAGCUAGUUGGUAAGGUAACGGCUUACCAAGGCGACGAUCAGUAGCCGACCUGAGAGGGUGAUCGGCCACAUUGGAACUGAGACACGGUCCAAACUCCUACGGGAGGCAGCAGUGGGGAAUAUUGCACAAUGGGCGAAAGCCUGAUGCAGCAACGCCGCGUGAGUGAUGAAGGCCUUCGGGUCGUAAAACUCUGUCCUCAAGGAAGAUAAUGACGGUACUUGAGGAGGAAGCCCCGGCUAACUACGUGCCAGCAGCCGCGGUAAUACGUAGGGGGCUAGCGUUAUCCGGAUUUACUGGGCGUAAAGGGUGCGUAGGUGGUCUCUUAAGUCAGGAGUGAAAGGCUACGGCUUAACCGUAGUAAGCUCUUGAAACUGGGAGACUUGAGUGCAGGAGAGGAAAGUGGAAUUCCUAGUGUAGCGGUGAAAUGCGUAGAUAUUAGGAGGAACACCAGUAGCGAAGGCGGCUUUCUGGACUGUAACUGACACUGAGGCACGAAAGCGUGGGGAGCAAACAGGAUUAGAUACCCUGGUAGUCCACGCCGUAAACGAUGAGUACUAGGUGU
This 710-nucleotide ribosomal RNA is filed under the name uncultured bacterium. Its description in RNAcentral is "bacterial SSU rRNA". It matches the Rfam family "Bacterial small subunit ribosomal RNA", at positions 94 to 823 of the family's 1533-position model. The record is from RNAcentral.